AUGUGGGGCUGCUACCGUGGGGAGCCACCGGCGGCCACGCCCGCGCUUCCUCCGGCCUCCGACGGGCGCCUCCAUCCAGGACCAGUGAAGGUGUUGCAGGCCCAGCUACGUCGCGGGGUGUGGUACUUGUUGAUCCAGUGGGACGGCCUUCCAGAGGAGGAGGCCACUUGGGAGCAGCGCGACGAGUUCCGCCAACACUACCCAGACUUCCAGCUCGAGGACGAGCUGUUUGCGCAGGCGGGGAGAGAUGUUAUGACCGGGGUAACUUAUACCCGGAGGAGGCCCACUAGGCGCGUUUAG
This 300-nucleotide ribosomal RNA is filed under the name Triticum aestivum (bread wheat). Its description in RNAcentral is "partial small subunit ribosomal RNA". The record is from RNAcentral. Lineage: Eukaryota; Viridiplantae; Streptophyta; Magnoliopsida; Poales; Poaceae.